UCAACCAGAUGGCAGGCUACAAAAUGGCCCCCAUUCUGCAUGUGCUUAAUUUGUAAAUUGGGAGGUGCCGGAACAAAAAGUGAGCAAGAGAGGGUGGUGACCUGGGAAGCUCUGAGGUACCGGAACGCAUGAGGGAAAGCAGUAGACUAAAGGCACACAUGGGGAACAUUUUAGUAGCCUAAGGAGAGACAUCAAGAGGGCAUCAAUGACCUCCCUGCAGGGAAGAGACAAAUGAUGGAGAAGUUUUUCACUCCUGUUCAUAGUCCUCCUCCAGGUGGGAUCACAUCACAGAAGCACCGCCAUCACCGGGAUCAAGAAAAGGAGAUACACAGCUACAGGAGGUCACGGAACAAUGAUAGACGCAGCAGUGAACGCCACGGUCACCACCAUCACCGUGGUAACCAUUUCCAAGAUGACCAGGAGCAAUCCCAUAGACGUCACCAUCAUCAUCCUCAGCACCUUCAUCACGAUGACGAGAUGUCGGAUCACCACACCACCGUCACCCUCUCCAGAGCAUCUUCCUCCUCCCUCUCAUCUUCCUCCUCUUCCUCUUCCUCCGACUCUUCCACCGAAUGGUCCGGCAUUGACGACAAGUUCUCCCUGAAGCACGCCAGCCGGCCGCAGCAUACCAUGUCCUGCUCCAACAUUGCAGGAGGACGACAGUUCCGGGAGGAUGACAGUGAGCUGCAGGUGUAUGCCACGGUCAAACAGGGGCGAAUGCACGGAGGAGGAAGCCCUGGGACCAACCAUCGGGCCCAGGGGAGGGGAGGACAAGAGCCCAGCUACUCCGAGCUCAACCGGGGCCAUAGCCGCAGUGAAGAGGGGUUGCUGCAGAAUACAGGCACUGACAGAGGGAAAGCACGGACACCCCCACACCUGAAGCACGGAUCCCUCUACAAGACAGCCAGCCUGGGCCGUAGCCUGGCCUUCAGUGAAGAGGUCCUGGCUGGGCCAAAGAGGGCGGUGUCCUCGAUCCAGCUCCCCAGUAAAGGCAUCCUGAAAAACAAGGAGGCGCCGCCGGACAUCCGCAAGGCCAAGUCCAUGGAGGUGCUGUCUUCCCGGGUAGCAGGCAAGACAGCAGGGCCCAAGGGGAAGCAGGAUGUGGAGGCUCUGAAGGAUGCAGCCAGGCAGAGCAUGGUGAAGGGGAAGAUACAGUUCUCUGCCUUCCUGGAUGAGAUCACUAAACAGGUCAUCAGCCCCGCCCGUCUCAAUACUCUGGGGGUACCUGUCGAGACUGUAGGACCGGGUCCAGCCAAAACCCCAGCAUCCCCCAAAUCUCAACUGAAAAGUCAGCCCCAGCUUCCCUUGAAAAAGCAGGGAGAUGGGCAGGGGGAGGAGAGGGAAACGGUUACUAAACCUAGAAAACUGAGGAAUGACUCUGACACACGGUCACGGAAAAUAUCUCUCCCUACAAAGUUUGGGUAUGAAAGCAAGAACCACACUCCUUGUCUAGGCAGCCCCCCAACCCACCACUCCAGCCAACCCUACCCGCCCCACCCACCGGCUGGCUAUGAAGACCAACCAGCCUCCCUGCCUGACUUCCAGGGUCCUGUCGGUAAUAGGCAUGGGCGGUAUGGCUCCCUUCUUACAGACGGCACUGUCAGCUCCAGCCCUGAGCCCAGCCAUCACAAACACCGUAGCUACAAACACCUUGACCAGAGCCACAGGCCCACCCAUAGCCCACCUUCAUCUCCACACACCCAGCAACCCCAGCUACCCCACCGCACCCCAAUCCGCACACACUCCCCUCCUCCAGUGCCAGGGCCCGAGUCGGAGUCUCCCUCCAGCAAGUCUGACUCAUCCCGGAACAGAGACCGAGACACGGCCAGCCCCAGCUCCGAGCAGAGCAACCGCCACAACCGGUCAACCUACCGCUGGCAUCCAAAGCCACACAGGACCUUGACAGGUGACACAGGCGAACUCCAGGCACUGCAGGAGGAGAAUGCUGAGCUGCACCAGAACCUGAUGCAAACAGUGGUCUGCAUCGAGAGCCUGGAGGCGGAGCUAGCCAGGGCCAGGGAGGAGCUUAGCCACAUGAAGGAGAAGUUCAAGAGGCUCCAGGACACACACACAGGUACCCAGCACACCAACAGCCUUCUGGGGGAGAAACUGCACUCAGCGACUGAGAGCCUUAGCUCUGAGAGGAAGUAUAUGGUGCAGCGUAUCGCCCAUCUCAGCACAGAGCUGGAGCAGGCCAACGCCACCAUCGCCUCUCUGGAGAACAUCAAUGUUCCCUGUCUGAUCAAGGAGCUCCUAGAGAAGCACUUUGACUCUGGAGACACUGUCAAGCAGUUCCUGAAGAACGCCUUGAAAACCGGCCAAUCCACAAGCGACAUCCAAUCACCUGCUACAAAACUGGAGCAGAAGCCAUCUGAUUGGUCAGGUGCAGGACUCAGGGAGUUUGAGGCGGGUCCACAAAAGGUCACUGCUUUUAUGCCCUGGAAGCAGGAGGAGGGGUUUGGGGUGAUAGGUCAGACAGGAAAUGAGGAUUCUCGCCCGAUGAGUCCCCCUUUCUCCGUCGCUGACAUCAGUAUGGCUAUCUAUAAGAAACUAGCUGCCAGCCAAGCGGCAAGACAGCCCCGGCCUUCCAACUACCAACCUCACACUGACACCCCUCCCAACCCCUACCCUCUGGUGGAGUUGGGUACAGGGGGUGCAGGAGGUGCAUGGGAGGAGGGUUACCUUGUGCCUGCUGUCAAGGAGGGCAUGGCAGUUGCAGGGAGAGCAGCUGAGAGUAAGCAGGGUGCUGUUGUUGAUGUGUCCUAUCUGACGGCCCAGAGGGUUCUGGAUGACUUCAUGCACCAGCUGACACACCCAGAGGAUGGGAGCGCAGGUGGGGAGAGGGGGCAUAAGGCCAACGGGGGAGGGGGAACAACUGAAGAGAAGGGGGCAGAGUGAAACGAACCUAUGAAUUGCUGUAAUUGUAACCUUAUAUUACAUAGGCUAGGAUUGUUCAAGAUGUGAUGGUUUGUUUGUGAUGGUUUGAGGCCUGUAGUUCUGCAUUUAUUUAACAUUUUAAUGUCACUAUACAUUUGAGUGAUGGCAUUGUAAAUAUUACAUUCUGUUUCUUUCCCAAAUGUCUUGUGGUGCAGUUGUAAAGAAAGUAUUAGACUUAAACAAUUAAUUGAACUAUAUACAGAAUAUAAUUAUUAAUCCAAAUUUGCAAUGUGAUACAGUCCAUCCUUUUCCUUGUGAAGUGAUGCAGAAUUUAAAUGUUUUGUUAAUGCCUAGACAGUGAGUAGAAUUUUCUAUUUUAUAACAAUGACCGCUAUUUUGUAAGCUCCAGUAAGCCAAUGAAGGAACCUUCAUAUCUGAAUAACAUCGAUCCAGCUGGCAUUAACGUAUUACCCACUGUGUUUUGGGCUAUCAUGUCACAUGACCUAGAGUUUAACCUUUAUUUUAAGCCUUUUCCAGAAAUGAGAACUAUGAAAGCAAUUGUCUGAGGAUGGUGUCGGAGGAUGCUGCUGGACCAUCUGACAUAAAAAGAAAAGGGGACAGUUUGAUGAAAAAAUUUAAAUAAAGGUUCAAAUCCAGGUCUUGUGACAUGACUGUGCAAAACACAGGGCCCUACAUUAACGCUAUGCUGUCCAUCCUAAUGAACUGUCUUAGCUAAAACUGUAUAAAGCUGCUGUCCCCCCCAAGACUUUUGAUGUUGUAGAUUAAUAAAAUGACUAAUUCUAAA
Molecule: long non-coding RNA, 3682 nt
Filed under: Salmo salar (Atlantic salmon)
Lineage: Eukaryota; Metazoa; Chordata; Actinopteri; Salmoniformes; Salmonidae
Description: lncRNA (ENSSSAG00000047551.2)
Source: RNAcentral